GAUGAACGCUGGCGGCGUGCCUAAUACAUGCAAGUCGAGCGAACGGACGAGAAGCUUGCUUCUCUGAUGUUAGCGGCGGACGGGUGAGUAACACGUGGAUAACCUACCUAUAAGACUGGGAUAACUUCGGGAAACCGGAGCUAAUACCGGAUAAUAUUUUGAACCGCAUGGUUCAAAAGUGAAAGACGGUCUUGCUGUCACUUAUAGAUGGAUCCGCGCUGCAUUAGCUAGUUGGUAAGGUAACGGCUUACCAAGGCAACGAUGCAUAGCCGACCUGAGAGGGUGAUCGGCCACACUGGAACUGAGACACGGUCCAGACUCCUACGGGAGGCAGCAGUAGGGAAUCUUCCGCAAUGGGCGAAAGCCUGACGGAGCAACGCCGCGUGAGUGAUGAAGGGCUUCGGAUCGUAAGACUCUGUUAUUAGGGAAGAACAUAUGUGUAAGUAACUGUGCACAUCUUGACGGUACCUAAUCAGAAAGCCACGGCUAACUACGUG
Molecule: ribosomal RNA, 497 nt
Filed under: uncultured bacterium
Lineage: Bacteria
Description: partial 16S ribosomal RNA
Rfam family: Bacterial small subunit ribosomal RNA
Source: RNAcentral